CACACAGCAGAAGGAAGGCAUAUAGGAUUCCAGAGCAAAGGAAGUUAGGCAGAAAGCGUGUGUAUGUUCCAAAAGUGCUUGGAUGAAUUCAGGGCAAGAGGAUUGUAACGGACGUUCGGAGGGAAAAGUUAUUAAGGUGGGCCAUCAAGGAGGUCAACCAUGAUGCUUGACCACUAAGCAUCCUUUGGCAUCAUUCUGACCCAAUAGGACAGGAAGGAAAGGACCGCAUUACAUUUGUGACCAAAGAAGACCGUGAGACUUCAAGCAAUGCCAAGUUGGGAACAGAUGAUCCCAACCACCCUUAUGAAGACCACGGUCAAUAAACUGUAUCAGCAACAUGAAAAGGCAAAGGAAUCACAUCCAUAGGCUCUAUCUGCAAACCCAAACUUCAAUCAAGCAAUCAUAUUUAUUGAGCGCUUACUGUGUGCAGAACACUGUACUAAGCACUUGGGAAAGUACAGUAUAACAGAAUUGGUCGACAAGCUCUGUUGCCCACAUCGAACUUUGAGUCUAGAGGGAAAAAUUCUGCUUCCUUCCCGUCGGCGAAUCGAACCCCA
Molecule: long non-coding RNA, 557 nt
Filed under: Ornithorhynchus anatinus (platypus)
Lineage: Eukaryota; Metazoa; Chordata; Mammalia; Monotremata; Ornithorhynchidae
Description: lncRNA (ENSOANG00000036293.1)
Source: RNAcentral